UGAUGACUGAUUCCAGAGACAGGAUUUUGAUUCUCCACAUUCCAAUGUUGCGAAGGAGGAAGAUAAGAAAACCCGUGCUCUACUGGUUUUAGAUAAAAACGAAAGAUAUGGAUCAUCCUGUGAUGAGGAGAAUGAGGUCCCCGAGCAGUCUGUGGAUCCUGAAAAUAACCCAGAUGCCUCGUACCCAGACACUGCACCUGCUGCAAGCUGUGAAAGUGAAAAAGG
Long non-coding RNA from Carassius carassius (crucian carp), 225 nucleotides. RefSeq lists it as uncharacterized. Lineage: Eukaryota; Metazoa; Chordata; Actinopteri; Cypriniformes; Cyprinidae. The transcript is spliced from 3 exons. The record is from RefSeq and is a predicted model, not a curated record.